This 93-nucleotide transfer RNA is filed under the name Bombyx mori (domestic silkworm). RNAcentral's name for it is "tRNA-Ala". The stretch from base 4 to 76 matches the Rfam family "tRNA". From Rfam's summary of the family: Transfer RNA (tRNA) molecules are approximately 80 nucleotides in length. Their secondary structure includes four short double-helical elements and three loops (D, anti-codon, and T loops). Lineage: Eukaryota; Metazoa; Arthropoda; Insecta; Lepidoptera; Bombycidae. The record is from RNAcentral.
AACGGGGGCGUAGCUCAGAUGGUAGAGCGCUCGCUUAGCAUGCGAGAGGUACCGGGAUCGAUACCCGGCGCCUCCAAUCUCGACUGUCUUUUU